RNAcentral lists this transfer RNA (69 nucleotides) under Chalarodon madagascariensis (Madagascar iguana). RNAcentral's name for it is "tRNA-Glu". Lineage: Eukaryota; Metazoa; Chordata; Lepidosauria; Squamata. The record is from RNAcentral.
GUUUUUAUAGUUGAAUAACAACGGUGGUUUUUCGGAUCAUAGGUCCUAAUUUAAGCUUAGGUAAAAAUA